GACGAACGCUGGCGGCGUGCUUAACACAUGCAAGUCGAACGCUGAAGACCUGGCUUUUGUUGGGUUGGAUGAGUGGCGAACGGGUGAGUAACACGUGAGUAACCUGCCCUCUUCUUUGGGAUAACGCCCGGAAACGGGUGCUAAUACUGGAUAUUCACUGAUCUUCGCAUGGGGGUUGGUGGAAAGGUUUGUUCUGGUGGGGGAUGGGCUCGCGGCCUAUCAGCUUGUUGGUGGGGUGAUGGCCUACCAAGGCUUUGACGGGUAGCCGGCCUGGGAGGGUGACCGGUUACCUUGGGACUGGGAUACGGCCCCGACUCCUUCGGGAGGCAGCAGUGGGGGAUAUUGCACAAUGGGCGGAAGCCUGAUGCAGCGGCGGCGCGUGAGGGAUGGAGGCCUUCGGGUUGUAAACCUCUUUCGCUCAAGGGCAAGCCGCAACUGUGGGGUGUGGUUAGGGUAGUGGGUAAAGAAGCGCCGGCUAACUACGUG
RNAcentral lists this ribosomal RNA (486 nucleotides) under uncultured bacterium. Its description in RNAcentral is "partial 16S ribosomal RNA". It matches the Rfam family "Bacterial small subunit ribosomal RNA", at positions 28 to 507 of the family's 1533-position model. The record is from RNAcentral.